UGUAGAGGAAUGGGAAUCGAACCCACAAUAUUCCGCUUACCGGGCAGAUGUCAUGUCCACUAGGCUUAUGUAUUC
RNAcentral lists this transfer RNA (75 nucleotides) under Cordylochernes scorpioides. RNAcentral's name for it is "tRNA-Thr". The record is from RNAcentral. Lineage: Eukaryota; Metazoa; Arthropoda; Arachnida; Pseudoscorpiones; Chernetidae.